RNAcentral lists this ribosomal RNA (494 nucleotides) under uncultured bacterium. Its description in RNAcentral is "partial 16S ribosomal RNA". It matches the Rfam family "Bacterial small subunit ribosomal RNA", at positions 31 to 507 of the family's 1533-position model. The record is from RNAcentral.
GAACGCUGGCGGCGUGCCUAAUACAUGCAAGUCGAGCGAACAGACGAGGAGCUUGCUCCUCUGACGUUAGCGGCGGACGGGUGAGUAACACGUGGAUAACCUACCUAUAAGACUGGGAUAACUUCGGGAAACCGGAGCUAAUACCGGAUAAUAUAUUGAACCGCAUGGUUCAAUAGUGAAAGACGGUUUUGCUGUCACUUAUAGAUGGAUCCGCGCCGCAUUAGCUAGUUGGUAAGGUAACGGCUUACCAAGGCGACGAUGCGUAGCCGACCUGAGAGGGUGAUCGGCCACACUGGAACUGGGACACGGUCCAGACUCCUACGGGAGGCAGCAGUAGGGAAUCUUCCGCAAUGGGCGAAAGCCUGACGGAGCAACGCCGCGUGAGUGAUGAAGGUCUUCGGAUCGUAAAACUCUGUUAUUAGGGAAGAACAAAUGUGUAAGUAACUAUGCACGUCUUGACGGUACCUAAUCAGAAAGCCACGGCUAACUACGUG